Molecule: unclassified non-coding RNA, 344 nt
Filed under: uncultured fungus
Lineage: Eukaryota; Fungi
Description: partial contains 5.8S ribosomal RNA and internal transcribed spacer 2
Rfam family: 5.8S ribosomal RNA (bases 1-134)
Source: RNAcentral
UGGUUCUGGCAUCGAUGAAGAACGCAGCGAAAUGCGAUAAGUAAUGCGAAUUGCAGAAUUCCAGUGAGUCAUCGAAUCUUUGAACGCACAUUGCGCCCUUUGGUAUUCCGAAGGGCAUGCCUGUUCGAGCGUCAUUAUCACCCCUCAAGCCCCGUGCUUGGUGUUGGACGGUGUGGUCGGUCAUAAACGACCCUUCCUAAAGAUAACGACGGCGGCCUGUGGAGCCCCCGGUACACUGAGCUUCCUAACCGAGCACGUACCGGACGAGGGCGCCCGGGACCCGGUCUUCUCCCCCUGGGAACUCUCUAAGUUUUGACCUCGGAUCAGGUAGGGAUACGCGCUGA